UUUUAAAACAUACUUUAAUACAGCAGAAUAUUAUCAGAAGAACUGAUCUAGCUGUAAUAAGCGUGGUUUAUUGUGCUUAGUUACAUCUUUUGCCUUAUGACAGUCAAAGCAGUUGUGGUGGGUAGCAGGGGGAAUUUUAAGAAGUGAAAAUAAGCAGUUAAAGCUAGAUUUCUGCUGGACUAUAUACACCAAUGCAGAAAGCUGGUCUGGAGCACAAGGAUUCACUUUAUGAAUAGGAUUGGCUCUUAUGAUGAGGAUGAAGAGUCUGAAUUGGGGCUGAAGGUAGCAAGUUGCUUUUUGACAGCAACAUUUCCUAAGGCUAAUAAGCAUGCUCUUUAUGCCAAGUUUCUUAUUGCUCCUCAAGUUUUUUCUUGAGAGAUUGACUAAAUUGCAAGCUGUAAUUUCAUUCUAUAUCAUUACAGCCCCAAAACACUCACUUUAGAACAAUCCAGAUUGUGUAAUAGCCAUGCUCCCUGUUUGAUAACACAAUCACAAAAGUGCUGUUGUGUAAUAAUUAAAGAAUUUUUAAAUGAGAUAAAAUUGGAAUGUUUUUUGUAAACAGCAGGCACAUGGCCCACAUGCAGUUUUCCUUUUGACAGGAAGAAUUUACUUAAAUAAUCUGUGUUUUAAAAUCAUCUCAUCUCAGGAGCACAAAACUGUUGUCAUAGCUUUUACUGGGUUUUUUCCUGACCUUUCAUCUAGCAGGUGUGCAUUUAUACAAAAGGUACCUGCAGAUAGUAGCACUGUUUCAAAUCUUGGUGGAUACUUAAUGAAACAUUAGUUAACAUGAACAGUUUUGAAUCUUAAGAAUUUUUUUCAUGUGUAAACCUUAAAGGAUAGCUUCAGUUUGAAAUGAUGAAGGUACCUGCUGUAAAUAUAUUGUGCAUCAUCAUACUUUGUCAUCCCCACACUUGAAUUCCUCCACCAACAAGCUGCUGUACAUCUUAAGGGGUCCUCCAUGAAAGGCAUCAGUCCAGCUCACAAAGCAAACCUAUGUUCACAUGCAGUAAAUUACAGUGACUUGGGGGGGGUGGGGGGUGGUCCCUUUAAGGACACUGAAAGGGUGAAGUUUCUUCAAUUUUUUGAAGGUGUAAAACUGAUGCUUUUGUGGGAUGAUUUUUAUAUGUUGAAGCGAAGUGGGGGGUGAGGAGUGUUUUUGUUUUAUAUUAGCACUUAAAUCCAGGUGAAGUGAUCACUGACACCACUGAUGCAGUCAGUCAGUCACUGCAUGCAGUCAGGUGGGCUUCAGGAGUACAAAAUGAGAAUUCAUAUCACUUCCCACAAGAGACAAUUGCCAGUCAGUUCACUAAAAUAGGUACUGUAAAAAUCAUGUAAAAUUCAGAGUAAGCCAUAAUCACUGGUGGUACUUCAGGUACCUGUAAGAAUGUUGUGAGUAACAUUUCCAGUUUUUUGCCAUUCUGAUUUAAUGUGAAAGGGUUUUUUAAACAAAUUAUUAUUACCUUUUUUUAUUACUUCUUUUAUGGAAAGUUCAUGUCAGUCUUUGAAAUAAAAACCAAAGCAUAAAGGUAGAUAGUUAUGUGGUGGAGAGGAGUGUUCUAAAGGUCUAUCUGCUGUUACACAGUCAGUGUAAUGUUGCUAAAAUGUUUCUCUUAAACGGCAUGGAUUUCACCUUGGUUUGAUAGUGAAAGGGGAAGGCUUCAUUCAGGGUGUCCUGGUGACUGUGAAGGGCUAUAGUUCUAGGUAGAUCUUGAAGUAAACCUACUGGGUGCUUCCAGUGACCUAGAGGAUUUAGUUUUUUCUGCGUGCCUGUGCUGCUACUCGGAGAGGAAAGCUUUGCUGAACCGAAAUCACUGCCAUAGCACUCUGCGCUGCUACUUCUCUGUCUAUCUAAAUGCAGAUUAGCCGUUUUUAGACAUACGGCUUCUCCGUAUAUCUAAAUACAUGCUCAGCAGAGCUUGUCCCAUAGGUAUUGAUAACAUGUUGUCUUCCUUGCUGAGCGAGUCAGGAGGUCACAAAAUAACUGAGGUAUGACUGAAUUACACAGGGACUGAGCAAAAGACAGUAGAAAGCAUGUUCUCAGCCAGGGGACACAGCUGGCCAGAGCAGGGGUUUGCAGUAGGUUGGCAGUAGAUGAGAGUUCAAGCAUGACAAUCGCAAAUUCUGUCAUAACUUUCUAUUGACUAAGAUUCAGCAAUCUCAUUAGUAGCAAUAUUUUAUAAACAUCCAAGAAUAGUUGUUCUCUUUAAAUGACAUGAAGAUAAGGUCCACUUUGUGCCUCUUGUUUUGGCUUGGCUUUUAAAAAAAUAUUUGUAGUAACUGCUAAAAGAAGCCCUUGGAAGGGGGAGAGGAAGACCAGUGUAAGAUUUCCUUCCCCUUUCCUUCUUGGGAAGAAAAGCAGAAGAUGGGGAAAUCCUAUAAUUCCCCCUACUGCAAGGAAUCUUUUCAAACAAAGUUUGAUUUUUAUUUUUUUUUUCUUCCAGUGAAUUCAUUGAGCAGUUUCAAUGUUACAGUGCCAAGUUUUCCUUCAUGUGUAGAAAAUAACAAUUUUGUUUUUCUCUUUACACGAGUGUAGCACAUAAAGCUAUGAAUCUCAUGGGGUUAAAAUGUUUCAUUUCUGAUCUUACUUAGAGAAGACAUGUUGUUAUGUUUGUAAUUUUGGAAUAAAAUUUUUAAUGGUUUCAAUAAA
Molecule: long non-coding RNA, 2647 nt
Organism: Pezoporus occidentalis (night parrot)
Lineage: Eukaryota; Metazoa; Chordata; Aves; Psittaciformes; Psittacidae
Exons: 2
Source: RefSeq, a predicted model, not a curated record